GACGAACGCUGGCGGCGUGCCUAAUACAUGCAAGCCGAACGCUUCUUUCCUCCCGAGUGCUUGCACUCAAUUGGAAAGAGGAGUGGCGGACGGGUGAGCAACACGUGGGUAACCUACCCAUCAGAGGGGGAUAACACUUGGAAACAGGUGCUAAUACCGCAUAACAGUUUAUGCCGCAUGGCAUAAGAGUGAAAGGCGCUUUCGGGUGUCGCUGAUGGAUGGACCCGCGGUGCAUUAGCUAGUUGGUGAGGUAACGGCUCACCAAGGCCACGAUGCAUAGCCGACCUGAGAGGGUGAUCGGCCACACUGGGACUGAGACACGGCCCAGACUCCUACGGGAGGCAGCAGUAGGGAAUCUUCGGCAAUGGACGAAAGUCUGACCGAGCAACGCCGCGUGAGUGAAGAAGGUUUUCGGAUCGUAAAACUCUGUUGUUAGAGAAGAACAAGGACGUUAGUAACUGAACGUCCCCUGACGGUAUCUAACCAGAAAGCCACGGCUAACUACGUG
Molecule: ribosomal RNA, 508 nt
Filed under: uncultured bacterium
Lineage: Bacteria
Description: partial 16S ribosomal RNA
Rfam family: Bacterial small subunit ribosomal RNA
Source: RNAcentral